GUAGGUGAACCUGCGGAAGGAUCAUUAAUGAAUUUUUCUAGCGGACCGGGUCUCGGCUCGGCUUCGCGAAAGAUUUUUGUAUUUAAAACUUUUCCACCCGUGAAAAAAAAAAAAUUGUAAAUUGUAAAAUAAAAAAAAAGAUCACUUUCAACAACGGAUCUCUUGGCUCUC
RNAcentral lists this unclassified non-coding RNA (171 nucleotides) under rhizosphere metagenome. RNAcentral's name for it is "partial ribosomal RNA internal transcribed spacer region". The record is from RNAcentral.